GAUGAGCGCUGGCGGCGUGCCUAAUACAUGCAAGUCGAGCGAACGGACGAGAAGCUUGCUUCUCUGAUGUUAGCGGCGGACGGGUGAGUAACACGUGGAUAACCUACCUAUAAGACUGGGAUAACUUCGGGAAACCGGAGCUAAUACCGGAUGAUAUUUUGAACCGCAUGGUUCAAAAGUGAAAGACGGUCUUGCUGUCACUUAUAGAUGGAUCCGCGCUGCAUUAGCUAGUUGGUAAGGUAACGGCUUACCAAGGCAACGAUGCAUAGCCGACCUGAGAGGGUGAUCGGCCACACUGUAACUGAGACACGGUCCAGACUCCUACGGGAGGCAGCAGUAGGGAAUCUUCCGCAAUGGGCGAAAGCCUGACGGAGCAACGCCGCGUGAGUGAUGAAGGUCUUCGGAUCGUAAAACUCUGUUAUUAGGGAAGAACAUAUGUGUAAGUAACUGUGCACAUCUUGACGGUACCUAAUCAGAAAGCCACGGCUAACUACGUG
This 497-nucleotide ribosomal RNA is filed under the name uncultured bacterium. RNAcentral describes it as "partial 16S ribosomal RNA". It matches the Rfam family "Bacterial small subunit ribosomal RNA", at positions 28 to 507 of the family's 1533-position model. The record is from RNAcentral.